This is a long non-coding RNA of Arachis ipaensis, 730 nucleotides long. RefSeq lists it as uncharacterized. Lineage: Eukaryota; Viridiplantae; Streptophyta; Magnoliopsida; Fabales; Fabaceae. The record is from RefSeq and is a predicted model, not a curated record.
CACGUUUCUCUCUCGCCGCACCCAGCAGCGCCUCCUAACCCCUCUCAGCAGCGCGAACCGGCGAACCCAUCAGCGACGUUCAGCCCCUCCCAACAGCGCAAACCGUCGAGCACAGCCCCUCCCAGCAGUGCCGGACCAGCCACCCACCAGUGUCGGACCAGCCCCUUCCAUCCCCUCCUAGCGCCGAACACCAGAUAUAGAGCCUCCAAGUCAGUUGCUAUAAGGAAUUAAUGCUCCUGAAAGUGUAAUGCCAUAUGGAAAGGAUGCUAAAAAUGAACCAACAAAGAUUGUUCAAGGAAAGUCUUUGAGGGUCCUUGUAUAUGGAGAAGAUCGCUAUGGUCGUUGUGUCGGUGAUCUCUACUAUAAUGGCAUUUUUGCACAGGAAAUGAUGCUGAAGAAGGGUUUAGCAUGGCACUACUAAGCCUAUGACAAAAGUCCAAAACUAGAAGCAUGGGAAAACAAGCAAGAGCAGAGCGAGUUGGAUUAUGGGCCUCAAAGAAUCCAGAGAACCCUGUGCCUGGAUAUAUAUAUAUAUAUGGUCUUUUAAUAAAUAAGGAAUUCAUUUUCUUAUGUGUUUGUGUUUUGCUGAAUUGUUAACACAUUAGUCACUUUAAACAGUAGAAUAUGUAGUUUUUUUUAUCUAUAACUGUGAAACAUUGGACCAAGACCUUUGUUAGUUAUUGCGUAUUUGUGUUCUAUGAUUGUGAAAUGGUAUGAUAGGUUUUUCUUU